AGGGUGGAGAAGCAGAGUUCAUCGGAAAAAGAUGCUUCAGAUCCGUCUUAGCAAGCCAGCAAAUGAGAGUGGCGGGUUGCCUCCUGAAACUGUUACAGUUGCUUGUCCUGACCAUCUUGUCAUAGCUGAUCUUCCAGUAGCCAAGAGCCUUGGUACAGUAAAUCCUGCAUCUCUGCCCAAAACUGUUGGCCGGAGGUCCCGGCGACAGCUUGCUGAGCGAGUACAUUUUUGCAUCUGCUGUGACUUUCCAAUUGCUGUUUAUGGACGUCUGAGUCCAUGUGAACAUAUCUUCUGCUUAGAUUGUGCCAGGACCGACUCUGUCUGCUACCUCUGUGAUGAACGCAUUCAGAAGAUCCAGACAAUAAAAAUGUUGGAAGGGGUCUACAUCUGUGCAGCUCCGCAUUGUUUCAAGUCCUUUCUGAAGGAGACUGAGUUUGAAUCUCAUAUUCAUGAGACUCACAGUGAUCUUCUUCGUUUAGAGAAUGAUGGGAACAU
RNAcentral lists this unclassified non-coding RNA (495 nucleotides) under Hevea brasiliensis (rubber tree). Lineage: Eukaryota; Viridiplantae; Streptophyta; Magnoliopsida; Malpighiales; Euphorbiaceae. The record is from RNAcentral.